RNAcentral lists this ribosomal RNA (659 nucleotides) under Phenoliferia himalayensis. RNAcentral's name for it is "eukaryotic LSU rRNA". It matches the Rfam family "Eukaryotic large subunit ribosomal RNA", at positions 1 to 658 of the family's 3401-position model. Lineage: Eukaryota; Fungi; Basidiomycota; Microbotryomycetes; Kriegeriales; Kriegeriaceae. The record is from RNAcentral.
GACCUCAGAUCAGGCAGGAUUACCCGCUGAACUUAAGCAUAUCAAUAAGCGGAGGAAAAGAAACUAACAAGGAUUCCCCUAGUAACGGCGAGUGAAGCGGGAAGAGCUCAAAUUUGUAAUCUGGCACUUUCAGUGUCCGAGUUGUAAUCUCGAGAAGUGUUUUCCGCGCCGGACCGCAUACAAGUCUGUUGGAAUACAGCGUCAUAGUGGUGAGAACCCCGUAACUGAUGCGGAUGCCCGGUGCUUUGUGAUACACUUUCGAAGAGUCGAGUUGUUUGGGAAUGCAGCUCAAAUUGGGUGGUAAAUUCCAUCUAAAGCUAAAUAUUGGCGAGAGACCGAUAGCGAACAAGUACCGUGAGGGAAAGAUGAAAAGCACUUUGGAAAGAGAGUUAACAGUACGUGAAAUUGUUGGAAGGGAAACGCUUGAGGUCAGACUUGCUAUUUGGAAUUCAGCCGCAAGGUGUACUUUUCAAUUCGCAGGCCAGCAUCAGUUUUUGGGGGUGGAAAAGGGUAGAGAGAAGGUAGCUGUUUCGGCAGUGUUAUAGCUCUUUGCUGGAUUCAUCCUUGGGGACUGAGGAACGCAGCGCGCUUUUUGCAAGGCUUUAGAGCUUUUCGUACUUAGGAUGCUGGUGGAAUGGCUUUAAACGACCCGUCUUGAA